GGACACGUGACGGUCAUAAACGUCUCUCCCUCCCGUGUAUCUGACUGUUAGUUUGCAUGUAUUUGUAUCGACGUCACUGUGUGGCGUCUGCUGCAUUUGGUUUCACUCUAAAAUCAGACGGAGCGCGUUUUUCCUCUUCGAUCGCAGAUUUCCAGGUUCUGGACCACGGAGCAGGCCGCUCUCUUGUCGUGGGUCCAUCUCAGCCAAUCGCGGCGGCCGUCGGUGAUGACGUCACGCUGCCGUGUCGCCUGCAGCCGCCGGCGGAUGCGGUUGCCAUGACGGUGGAGUGGACGAGGACCGGCCCCGACCGCAGGUUUGUCCUGGUGUGGCGCGACGGCGAGGAGCUGAGGAACAAACACGAGGCCUACGAGGGAAGAACGUCGCUGCUCACGGACGAGCUGAGGAACGGGGACGUUUCUCUGAGGCUGGUUCACGUGAGGCCGUCGGACGCAGGAACCUACAGGUGCUUCGUUCCAGGGUUGGACAGCGACGCUGCUGUGCAGCUCGUUGUAGGUUCUGUCUCCUCACCCGUGAUCCAUGAGGUCUCCAACACCAGUGACGUGGUGGUGCUGGAGUGUAGGAGUGGAGGCUGGUUCCCAGAGCCUGAGCUGCUGUGGCUGGACGCUGAGGGAAAGCUCCUCUCUGCUGGACCUACAGAGACAGUCAGAGGUUCUGAUGACCUCUAUACUGUCAGCAGCAGAGUGACUGUGGACAAGAGACACAGCAGCAGAUACACAUGCAGAGUCCAGCAGACCUCCAUCAACCACACCUCAGAGGCUCACAUUGAAGUUACAGGUGCUGUAGAACCUCAAUGAUCUCAUGUUACACAUCUGUUUCCAGCUGUUUCCUACAAACUGUGUUUCUCUGUGUGACCCUUCAUCAGGCAACAUCUUCCCGGGUCAGACUGAUUCUAGAUCCAGUUCUGGUUCAUCUGUUCUUGUCGUCGUGGGUUUGAUUCUCUGUAUCGUGGUUCUUCUUGCUGCUGUUGCUGCUCUGGUUGUGUGGAAACGAAGGAAGAACAAACAUGGAAAGAAGCAGCAGGAUGAAGAGACACAGAACAGGUCUGGAGCUAAUGAACCAGAGAAGGAACCUCUGAUGGAACCAGAAACAGACGGAGAACGAGUAACAACACAGACGGUGGAAAACCAGAAUGAGAUGGAGAAAACACAGACAGUACAUACACAGAACCAGGAAACAGAAGAGACGGAGGCUGAAGAUGAAGAACCACAUGAUCAGGGUUUGACGGAUGAAGGACAAUAUGAGGAGCUGAUGGAGAGAGAAACAUUAAGUGAUGUUGACAUAGAAAUGGAGACACUUAAGAACAAGGUCACGUUAAUUGACGGAGGUGAAAAAGGAUAUGAUAAAAACAUUAAGAGAAAACUAGGACAGAUAAAAGAUAAAGAAAAGCAGAUCAGCGACAUUAAGAAGCAGCUGAAGGAGCUGGAGACACAGAGAGAAGAGACUGAGAAGAAGAUGAUGGAUCCUGAUUCACAGAAAGAAGCUGCAGAGACACAUCAGGAAGUGAGAGACGCAAAGAAGGUGGAACUUCAGAAACAGCUGAAAAAAACAGAGGAGUGGAUGAAGAGAAUGAUGAAGGAGAUUGUUUACAUGUCUGAAACAGGAAAGAAACAUAAAACCACAAAGGGGAGAGAUGAAACCGCUAAAAAGACUGAGGAGGAGAAGAAACAGAAGAAUAAAAACCUAAAAACUACAUCAGACAAUUGAUUAUUAGAGCAGACGAAUGGUCAUAAAACAGACAAAACACAGGAAGCAGCUGAAAAUAAAGACACAACGAAGCAGAAAGGAGAGAAACCG
Molecule: long non-coding RNA, 1815 nt
Organism: Betta splendens (Siamese fighting fish)
Lineage: Eukaryota; Metazoa; Chordata; Actinopteri; Anabantiformes; Osphronemidae
Product: butyrophilin subfamily 3 member A2-like
Source: Ensembl